Molecule: ribosomal RNA, 436 nt
Filed under: Trapania cirrita
Lineage: Eukaryota; Metazoa; Mollusca; Gastropoda; Nudibranchia; Goniodorididae
Description: partial large subunit ribosomal RNA
Rfam family: Archaeal large subunit ribosomal RNA
Source: RNAcentral
AGCCUUAGGAUAACAGAUCUAAGGUUAGACCUGCCCAAUGUAAAUAAAUCAAUGGCCGCGGUACUUUGACCGUGCUAAGGUAGCGCAAUCAAUUGGCUUUUAAUUGGAGCCAGGUAUGAAUGGAGUCACGGGGUUUAGCUGUCUCUUAUCUAUUUUAUUGAAGUUACUAUGUAGGUGAAAAAGCCUACAUAAAAAAGGGGGACGAGAAGACCCUUAGAGUUUUUCUUAUAUUGUAUUUUUACAUAAUGGUUUGGUUGGGGCAACUUAGGAUCACAUUAAACAUCCUAAAAUUUAUUGACCGAUUUUAAUAAAUUUGAAUAAACUACCUUAGGGAUAACAGCAUAAUUUUAUAAAUAAGUUUGUGACCUCGAUGUUGGACUAGGAAACUAAGGGGCUAGCCGCUUUUUAGGUAAGUUCUGUUCGAACUAUUAUUCCU